Molecule: ribosomal RNA, 490 nt
Filed under: uncultured bacterium
Lineage: Bacteria
Description: partial 16S ribosomal RNA
Rfam family: Bacterial small subunit ribosomal RNA
Source: RNAcentral
GAUGAACGCUAGCGAUAGGCUUAACACAUGCAAGUCGAGGGGCAGCAUGGUCUUAGCUUGCUAAGACUGAUGGCGACCGGCGCACGGGUGCGUAACGCGUAUGCAACUUGCCUCACAGAGGGGGAUAACCCGUCGAAAGACGGACUAAUACCGCGUACACUCCAUCUUGGGCAUCCAAGGUAGAGGAAAUGAAAUUCGCUGUGAGAUAGGCAUGCGUCCCAUUAGCUAGUUGGUGAGGUAACGGCUCACCAAGGCGACGAUGGGUAGGGGAACUGAGAGGUUGACCCCCCACCCUGGUACUGAGACACGGACCAGACUCCUACGGGAGGCAGCAGUGAGGAAUAUUGGUCAAUGGGCGAGAGCCUGAACCAGCCAAGUCGCGUGAAGGAUGACUGUCUUAUGGAUUGUAAACUUCUUUUAUACGGGAAUAACAAGAGUCACGUGUGACUCCCUGCAUGUACCGUAUGAAUAAGCAUCGGCUAACUCCGUG